AAUGGGCGCAAGCCCUGAUCCCCCAUGCCGCGUGAGUGAUGAAGGCCCUAGGGUUCUAAAGCUCUUUCGCCUGUGAAGAUAAUGACGGUAGCAGGUAAAGAAACCCCGGCUAACUCCGUGCCAGCAGCCGCGGUAAUACGGAGGGGGUUAGCGUUGUUCGGAAUUACUGGGCGUAAAGCGCGCGUAGGCGGACUAUUAAGUCAGAGGUGAAAUCCCGGGGCUCAACCCCGGAACUGCCUUUGAUACUGGUAGUCUUGAGUUCGAGAGAGGUAAGUGGAAUUCCGAGUGUAGAGGUGAAAUUCGUAGAUAUUCGGAGGAACACCGGUGGCGAAGGCGGCUUACUGGCUCGAUACUGACGCUGAGGUGCGAAAGUGUGGGGAGCAAACAGGAUU
Molecule: ribosomal RNA, 392 nt
Filed under: uncultured Gammaproteobacteria bacterium
Lineage: Bacteria; Pseudomonadati; Pseudomonadota; Gammaproteobacteria
Description: bacterial SSU rRNA
Rfam family: Bacterial small subunit ribosomal RNA
Source: RNAcentral